This 540-nucleotide long non-coding RNA is filed under the name Androctonus crassicauda. The record is from RNAcentral. Lineage: Eukaryota; Metazoa; Arthropoda; Arachnida; Scorpiones; Buthidae.
UAGAACUAUUUCAUUCUGUAUACCAAUUAAGAAGAAUAAGAUGAUGAUAGAGUGACUAAUAAAUAUUAGAAUAGCUUACAAAAGAGGUGUGACCAUUUUUAAUCUUCUAAGAAAUAGGUUUUCAGUGCAGAGAAACCAGCAGGCAAGUAUAUAUAUGAAAUCUCAAUAAGUGACAACUGGACAAGCCAGAAUAAUAUUUAUAUAGGCUAUAGGGAAAGAAACUUUGCAACAAAGAUUAAAGAACAUCAGAGAUAUAUAUGCCAGGAAAAACAUUUGUAGCUUUAGGAGUUAGAGCUCUAGAGACAGAUCUAAUUAUAGAUUGGCAGACUUCUAAAGUUUACAACAAUUUCAAAAAAAAUCCUAAGGAUAUGUUGCAAAGGCCUUAUGUAUUGCAAAAAAAUUUGAAAAACAGCUAUGUCUUAAACCAGGGGUCUCCAAACUACGGCCCGCGGGCCAGAUGCGGCCCACGAUAUAAUUUUAUCCGGCCCGCCAAUUGAACUAUUUAUCUCUAUUUUUGGGAUGAUGUAUCUUUUCAAACAA